RNAcentral lists this ribosomal RNA (444 nucleotides) under uncultured bacterium. Its description in RNAcentral is "SSU rRNA". It matches the Rfam family "Bacterial small subunit ribosomal RNA", at positions 26 to 518 of the family's 1533-position model. The record is from RNAcentral.
AGAGCGAACGCUGGCGGCAGGCCUAAUACAUGCAAGUCGAACGGAUCCUUCGGGAUUAGUGGCGGACGGGUGAGUAACACGUGGGAACGUGCCCUUUGGUUCGGAACAACUCAGGGAAACUUGAGCUAAUACCGAAUGUGCCCUUCGGGGGAAAGAUUUAUCGCCAUUGGAGCGGCCCGCGUCUGAUUAGCUAGUUGGUGAGGUAAAGGCUCACCAAGGCGACGAUCAGUAGCUGGUCUGAGAGGACGAUCAGCCACACUGGGAUUGAGAACGGCCCAGACUCCUACGGGGGGCAGCAGUGAGGAAUUUUCGUCAAUGGGGCAACCCUGAACGAGCAACGCCGCGUGCAGGAGAAGGUUUUCGGAUCGUAAACUGCUUUUCUCGGGGAAGAGAACGGACGGUACCCGAGGAAUCAGCCCCGGCUAACUACGUGCCAGCAGCCGC